AAGGGAUUAGUUAAUUCAUAUAACACCAGCAUGUCAAGCUGAAAUAAUCAACAACCAAGAUAUCCCUUU
RNAcentral lists this transfer RNA (69 nucleotides) under Dolichorhinotermes tenebrosus. RNAcentral describes it as "tRNA-Asp". The record is from RNAcentral. Lineage: Eukaryota; Metazoa; Arthropoda; Insecta; Blattodea; Rhinotermitidae.